UCAUCGAUUGUAAGAAUAAAGGAAGAAUAAAAGCUUUCACUGCCUGACAUCACGUCUUUGCCUUUCAUUGAAACCGUUACAACUACCUGUGGCCGCCAUCGUGUUUGAAGUAAAACACAAAUAACGAAACGAAUAAUAAUCCGGGCAAUCAAUGAGCAAGCACGUGCGUCUGUACCUGUGACGUUCCAUGAUGGAGGGAGGAGUGGAGGCAAGAGUCCAGGCCUGACGAGAGGGGGGGACAGGGGGGUCUGGUGUACCCGGGCCCGCGGCUGUCAAGGGGGCCCGGCCUUGGGUCAGAAAAUGAACACGAAGCUGAAGUGUCCUGCUCCAUUGGGAUUUCUGGUCUGUUUUCUUAUUUUCCACGUGGUGCCAGGUGUGACCUCAGGCAAUGUGACUGGUACUGAGUGCACUGUACAGGAGUCGUAAGUAUCCAGAUGUGUUUUAUUGUCAGCAGUUCAAACGCACGUGGCCUAAUGAAAGCUCUUGUCAAAUUUCGUGAUAAAUUUGAUAUUUAAAAAAAAA
Pomacea canaliculata is the source of this 522-nucleotide long non-coding RNA. RefSeq lists it as uncharacterized. The record is from RefSeq and is a predicted model, not a curated record. NCBI's taxonomy places the organism in Eukaryota, Metazoa, Mollusca, Gastropoda, Architaenioglossa, Ampullariidae. The transcript is spliced from 2 exons.